This is a long non-coding RNA of Maniola jurtina (meadow brown), 135 nucleotides long. RefSeq lists it as uncharacterized. The transcript has 3 exons. NCBI's taxonomy places the organism in Eukaryota, Metazoa, Arthropoda, Insecta, Lepidoptera, Nymphalidae. The record is from RefSeq and is a predicted model, not a curated record.
GAAGUUUAACCGAGGAAUAAAUUGGACGUAAUGACAGUUUUUGUAUAGAAAAUCUGCCAAAAUAUCAGAAUUAUUCUCUGAUAAGAUUUAUUUUACGUUGUUGAAAUCGGGCCUUAGUAAAAAAAAAAGCCAUAA